GAUGAACGCUAGCUACAGGCUUAACACAUGCAAGUCGAGGGGUUUUCUUUAAGAAGCUUGCUUUUUGAAGAGAACGACCGGCGCACGGGUGAGUAACGCGUAUCCAACCUGCCUCUCAUAUUGGGAUAGCCUUUCGAAAGAGAGAUUAAUACCGAAUAACAUAUUGAAUUUGCAUGAGCUCAAUAUGAAAGCUCCGGCGAUGAGAGAUGGGGAUGCGUUUCAUUAGGUAGUAGGUGGGGUAACGGCCCACCUAGCCGACGAUGAAUAGGGGUUCGUGAGAGGGAAGGUCCCCCACACUGGAACUGAGACACGGUCCAG
Molecule: ribosomal RNA, 318 nt
Filed under: uncultured bacterium
Lineage: Bacteria
Description: bacterial SSU rRNA
Rfam family: Bacterial small subunit ribosomal RNA
Source: RNAcentral